AAAGAAAUGGGUCCUAGACCCCACACACGCCACUCGGUAAAGAAUCGGGCCUAUAGCUCAGCUGGCUAGAGCACACGACUGAUAAUCGUGAGGUCAGUGGUUCGAGUCCACUUGGGCCCACCAAAUGGGGCUGUAGCUCAGCUGGGAGAGCACCUGCUUUGCAAGCAGGGGGUCACCGGUUCGAUCCCGGUCAGCUCCACCAAAGGGAAGAGGCCCGCGCGCAGCGGGUCGGACGCUGGGGUGGAGAAGUAGGCGGCAGGAAGCGGGUAACAGGUAACAGGAAGAAGAGAGUAGGAAAGUAAUUAAAGAGUCCGUAGUAGUGAGUUUCUGAAUAAAGAAGCUGAGUACUACCGAUUCGCAGUAUGGAAGCGGUAUUGUUCUUUGACAGUUGAGGAAGGGAAGGCCAUGUUUGUCAUCUUGCCGAUGGCAGACCUCCAGGUGGAUGCUUGGGGAUAUAU
RNAcentral lists this unclassified non-coding RNA (458 nucleotides) under Acidithiobacillus thiooxidans. RNAcentral's name for it is "16S-23S ribosomal RNA intergenic spacer". The stretch from base 47 to 120 matches the Rfam family "tRNA". The record is from RNAcentral. Lineage: Bacteria; Pseudomonadati; Pseudomonadota; Acidithiobacillia; Acidithiobacillales; Acidithiobacillaceae. RNAcentral also lists the same sequence under 1 other name.